UUUAUCGGCAGACCGAUAAAACUUUCCAAGUGGCCAAGAUUGCCAAACUACUGUUUGCGAUGGAACGUGGGACAGAGUCGCUGAAGGGAAAGAGUCUGCAAACCCUGGACUCUGUUAUCACUGGUAUGUAAAUUAAUAUAUUUUUAAAGUCAUCCCCUUCCAUUUAUUCUUUUCUCCCUCUGUCUUUGUUUCCACGACAGUGUGCAUGUCUUUAUCGGCAUAUUUUCUUUUACCUUCAUAUUUUAGUGUAAAAUUUUGUUUUCUGAUUUCUGACUGUGAAUAUUUCAAAAGGAAGAGCACAUGCAGCCACCUCAACCAAAGAUCUGAAAGGUGGCAAAAAGAGAAGACCAGAUCCAGGGAGACGACAGGAAGCUCAAGAUGAAUGAGAAGUGCCACAUUCAGCUGUAGCAACGAGAUCUGAUGAUGAAGAUGAUGGAGGCGGUAACAGUACCAACUUGGACACUGAAAACACAGGCACCUACAAAAGGCCACCGAAGAUGCAGUCAAUUAAAGAAAGAAAUUAUGCUGAUGACGCUGAUGACGAAAUGAGUGAUGUUUCUGGCAGUGAAUAUGGCGAUGGAGGGGUGUGCCAUAAGACAGUUAAGAAGACUGUCAAGAAAAAAAAGACAAUGUUGGGAAGACAUGGAUUGGUCUAUGACGCAUCUUUCACACAUGGCCAAGAACAACCAUCAACAUCAGGGAGCGCCACCAAACGAAAGAGGAUUGCAACACUUACACAUGACGACGAUGAUGUUGAAGACAGCGAUGAAGAGGACAAAAAGACUGGACACAGAUCUCUUGGGAAGAAGAAGACAGCAGUUCGAAAAGAACAUAGUGAAGUUGAAUUGGAAACUAAAAAAAGGAAGAGACCCGGACUCCAAAGGAAAGAGCAGCAAUUGCUCGACACCUUUCAAAAUUUGUAGCAUUAAAGAAAGUUCCAAGGAAAGAUGACUGCGUUAAGUGUCGUAGUCAAGCAUCGCCAGACCUUGAAGACCGCACAUGGAGAGAUAUUCCACAAUGAAAUUAUUAAAAGAUAUGUAAUUGG
Long non-coding RNA from Hippocampus zosterae (dwarf seahorse), 1045 nucleotides. RefSeq lists it as uncharacterized. NCBI's taxonomy places the organism in Eukaryota, Metazoa, Chordata, Actinopteri, Syngnathiformes, Syngnathidae. The transcript has 7 exons. The record is from RefSeq and is a predicted model, not a curated record.